This 253-nucleotide ribosomal RNA is filed under the name uncultured bacterium. RNAcentral describes it as "partial 16S ribosomal RNA". It matches the Rfam family "Bacterial small subunit ribosomal RNA", at positions 524 to 776 of the family's 1533-position model. The record is from RNAcentral.
UACAGAGGUCUCAAGCGUUGUCCGGAUUUACUGGGCGUAAAGAGCGCGCAGGCGGCUGGUCAAGUCCGAUGUGAAAGCUCCCGGCUUAACUGGGAAAUUGCAUCGGAAACUGAUCGGCUGGAAGGUGGGAGAGGGUAGCGGAAUUCCCGGUGUAGUGGUGAAAUGCGUAGAUAUCGGGAGGAACACCAGUGGCGAAAGCGGCUACCUGGCCCAUUCUUGACGCUGAGGCGCGAAAGCUAGGGGAGCAAACGGG